Long non-coding RNA from Gigantopelta aegis, 1336 nucleotides. RefSeq lists it as uncharacterized. The record is from RefSeq and is a predicted model, not a curated record. The transcript is spliced from 4 exons. NCBI's taxonomy places the organism in Eukaryota, Metazoa, Mollusca, Gastropoda, Neomphalida, Peltospiridae.
GUUCUAUACUACUAGGUUUGAUUGUCACGGUCCACUGCGCGUGUGACAAGACGGCGGGCGCGACUUGUGUUACCACUCUAGGGACCGAUACUACAGCUGCUGGGACCGAUGUUGGGAAGUUGUGUAGCGGAAACAACAAGUUUGUAACUUGCAUCGCAAACGCAGAAUGCAAGACAGAUACUACAUUUAAAACAACUUUUGACGCGGCCAACACAUACAUAAACAACCUUUGUAACAGCGGCACCAUGGCAACAGUUUCAGUUUUGACCAUGUUUCUCACCCUGUUCGUGAUGCUCUUCAAGUGAACGACUUUCUGAUCGGACCUGACCAAGGAGACAUCCAUCUUUGCCAUGAUAUCUACACUUCGAACACGAUACAUUGGACAAUAGUGAUUUAAUAAAACACAUGGUUACAUACGUAACUAAUACGUAGAUUAGACUGUGUAUUUUUUUUCUACGCUUUGUAAUAAACUUUUGAUAGUACGUGUAUGUUUUUCAAAUAUGUUCUACAUAUGAAAUCAGUUUCUGUGACUGAGAAUGAUAAAUGAUGGCUUCAAGGUGAUCCAAUAUCUUUUGCUUUCAGUAGAUCAUCUUCGCUGGCCAAGGCACCAUUCCGUAUAACUACCGCAUUACGAAAUGUACUACGUAACGGUACCUUGACGUGCGAAUAUGUCACUAGCUAUACCACAUGGCAGAUUCAACUACCUUCACAGUUCAUAUCUCCUUUUCAAAUUAAACUUAUUAUAUCUAUACUAAUUUAUGGAUUCACCACGGAUUUAUCAUCAUUUUGAACUUGGAAGAAUAUUUACACGUUAGCCAACUUAAUCAGUUUAAAAUGUUUAAUUAGAAAUAUCUAUUUAAUUAAAGAUUUAGUUACGUAGUGUUAUACACGAGUCUUUGAAAGGAGUAUUUUUUAUCUGAAUUGAUAAAUACAUUUUUUGUUUAUAUAUAUAUAUAAUUAUACUUACAGCUUGGAUAAUUAUUUUUAUUUGAUGUGUUCACGAUGGCAAACUAGUUUUCCCAUUUUUUUUCUCUUUUAUACGAUAAGAAAAAAGUUAUAUGAUUUUUCUUUUAGUGCAAGUAUAUAGUUAUAAAAUAAGAACAAAACACCGAAUAUGUUUUAUGUUUGCAAAAUAUUGCAUAUUUCAAGUAUAUUAUUAAAUAGGAUAUUAAAUCUGUAUAAAAUAUUUACCUCUCUUUACUUUUUCAACACGUUUGUCUUUUUUAUAUUAACGUUAAACAAUCUAGCUGUAAAAGAAUCUGUGGUUUGAUUGUGUCACCAAGAGCAUACUUUAAGUAUGAUUAAAAUGAAUAAUUAUCAACUUCUCUUAAAAAAA